This 390-nucleotide ribosomal RNA is filed under the name uncultured bacterium. RNAcentral describes it as "bacterial SSU rRNA". It matches the Rfam family "Bacterial small subunit ribosomal RNA", at positions 367 to 774 of the family's 1533-position model. The record is from RNAcentral.
GACAAUGGGCGCAAGCCUGAUCCAGCCAUGCCGCGUGCGUGAUGAAGGCCUUAGGGUUGUAAAGCUCUUUUAGCAGGGAAGAUAAUGACGGUACCUGCAGAAAAAGCCCCGGCUAACUUCGUGCCAGCAGCCGCGGUAAUACGAAGGGGGCUAGCGUUGCACGGAAUUACUGGGCGUAACGCGCACGUAGGCGGACUCUUAAGUCGGUGGUGAAAUACUGGAGCUCAACUCCAGAAAUGCCUUCGAUACUGGGAGUCUUGAGUUCGGGAGAGGUGAGUGGAACUGCGAGUGUAGAGGUGAAAUUCGUAGAUAUUCGCAAGAACACCAGUGGCGAAGGCGGCUCACUGGCCCGAUACUGACGCUGAGGUGCGAAAGCGUGGGGAGCAAACA